CCUACGGGAGGCUGCAGUGGGGAAUAUUGGACAAUGGGCGCAAGCCUGAUCCAGCCAUGCCGCGUGAGUGAUGAAGGCCUUAGGGUUGUAAAGCUCUUUUGCCGGGGACGAUAAUGACGGUACCCGGAGAAUAAGUCCCGGCUAACUUCGUGCCAGCAGCCGCGGUAAUACGAAGGGGACUAGCGUUGUUCGGAAUCACUGGGCGUAAAGCGCACGUAGGCGGAUCAUUUAGUCAGGGGUGAAAUCCCGGGGCUCAACCUCGGAACUGCCUUUGAUACUGAUGGUCUCGAGUCCGAUAGAGGUGGGUAGAAUUCCUAGUGUAGAGGUGAAAUUCGUAGAUAUUAGGAAGAAUACCGGUGGCGAAGGCGGCCCACUGGAUCGGUACUGACGCUGAGGUGCGAAAGCGUGGGGAGCAAACAGGAUUAGAUACCCCUGUAGUC
This 440-nucleotide ribosomal RNA is filed under the name uncultured Hyphomicrobium sp. Its description in RNAcentral is "bacterial SSU rRNA". It matches the Rfam family "Bacterial small subunit ribosomal RNA", at positions 338 to 795 of the family's 1533-position model. The record is from RNAcentral. Lineage: Bacteria; Pseudomonadati; Pseudomonadota; Alphaproteobacteria; Hyphomicrobiales; Hyphomicrobiaceae.